This is a non-coding RNA of Cricetulus griseus (Chinese hamster), 2960 nucleotides long. The record is from RefSeq and is a predicted model, not a curated record. NCBI's taxonomy places the organism in Eukaryota, Metazoa, Chordata, Mammalia, Rodentia, Cricetidae.
AUUGAUAGAUUUUUCUAUGUUGAACCAACCCUGCUUCCCUGGGAUGAAGCCUACUUGAUCAUGUUCAUCAUUUCACUGGCAGAUGAAAAACUGAUUUUUCAGCCCCAGAUGAAAGAGAAACUUCUAGAAGAUGAAGGUUAUUCUGCUUGCUGUUCUUGUCUGUUUGGUGUCUUCCAUGAAGGAGCCUUUACUGGAAAAAUAGGAAGUGCCAACUACACACAGUUUGGGCCGAGAGACCACCACAAAUUUGCUACUUACGGACAUGGAGAGAUUUCUUUGUAAAACACAAAGAAAAGGUUGGGGCUGAGAAAAUCGUUGGGAUCUGGGUGUUGCGUGAUGUCCCUCGUCAUUUCCCAAAAAUCUACUAUGAGCCACAGCUACAGGGGGGGUUAAUCAGACGUAAGUAAAGUCUCCAUUAUCUGUUUUCCACAACCAUGAGGAAAUAAAAUGCACAUAUGAGUAAUUACGUAGUAAAAAAAAUUAACAAACAAACUAAUAAAUAAUUACAAGUGAUUCUAAAGUUGAUCAUGUACAGUCAUAUACAUGACUUUGGUAUUUUGUGUUACAAGAUAAUGGAAUUUUCCCUGUCAAUAAUUUGAUGCAAAAUUUCUUAUAGUUUUUAUUGUCCUAGCAAACCUGCGAUUAUUAUGAAAGAAUUUUUGAUGUUUUUUAGAAAUAAUAUAAUUAAAAAUAACCACCAGAUACAAAUGAGUAGCAUUAUAUGGACUCAAAAAAUUAUAUUUAUGAAAAAUUAUAAAUUGUAUUUAUUUUAUGCAGUAAUAUUUUAUGUAAUCUAUAUUAUAUAUAAUUUAUAUAAGCAUGCAAUGAUAAUCUGAAAAAGACACUAAUUUCAAGGAGAUUGUGGAGGGGCAGACACUGUAAAUAUAAGGAAGAAAGGAAACUGGCAAAAUGAUGUAAUUAUAUUAAAAUCUCAAUAAAUAAGUAAAUAAGAGAUUCUAUAUCAUGUUUUAAUGAAGCACAAAUUGUUUCUUCCCAGAUCCAAGUAAAUUUCUUAUUUCGAUACAUUUUUUCUCGAACACCACCAUCAUAUUUGAAGCUGAAUAUGUUAAUGAUUUGGGGUUCGCACAGAGGCUGACUGGAGUAUUUGGUUGGUAAUUUUCAUAUGGGAGAAAGUAUUUUUCUGUUUGUUAGUUACAACAUAACUCUGGUCCAACAUUUCAUUGUGUGAUGCAUUCAUGCAGGAAGAUGUCCACACAUGUGUUCUCAAACACGAUCAGUAUUGUGUAAAGUUGAUUGGAAUUGUACAGGAUAAUAAUUUUAACAAUACUUUUAGUAUUCUUGAUUUCUAAAUAAGAGUGUUAGAUAUGAGGGGGUAGAAAUUUAUUGAUACAUUCACAGAAAGAAUGUUUGGCCUGACAUCAGAAUGAUUUGUCUGAAUGUAAUCCUCAUUCAGGUGGGUAUAACAAAGUAAUGGGAUUUACCAACAAUUUGAUGAAUUCAGACUUUUAGGUUUGAUGAUAACAAACAUGUAUUCUAACUUUUCCUCCAUGAAAUGAAGCAAAGGGAACAAAUAUUACUGAAGAAACAUGGAAAAGAUAUGUGAAGCUGACACAGGACUACAAAAUCCCUUUAAAAAAUAUUGAGAAUGUCUAUGAAGCAGGUAUUUCAGUUUCUGUAAACUGAUCUGAAAUUAGAGCAAAUCACAAAGAUUCUUUUUUUGUCUUAGCAAUGUAAAAUCCUUGGAGAAUAUAUGAAAGAAAUACAGUAAUAUUUUUAAAUUUUCUCCUUUUUUGUUUCAAUUCACAGAUGCAUGUCCUAAGUGGGAGCAUUGACUCAGUCAGCAGAAGCAUGGAGCAUGUCAUUGUUGGCUACUCAUUGAAAUCAAUUUUUGAGGUCUAUUCAAUCAUGUAAUCUAAAAGUAUUCAUAUUGUCACUCUGGAAAUUCUGUGUAUACUCCUUUUAUCAAUAAUUAAUACUGAUUUCAUCUUUGAUUAAAUACAUCGAUUUCAAAUAUUGCAAAAGUGUUUUCAAAAAGUACCCAAUGUGCAUCAUGCAGUGGAUUCUACUAAGAACCAAAAUAGUGGCUGCCUCAAUCAUCUCACUGUAAAUUUUAAAACUUGGCAGGUAGAAAUUUAUAAAUUUCCUAAGCAUGUCAUGUAUUUUAUAUUAUCUAUGUGAAUUUUUCAGAAAAAAAUUCUAAAGUAUUUUAUAGGAACACACAGUGUAAAGUGUCCCCCAAAUGGUGGAUUCUCAUAUGUACACAUCUGACCAGGAUUUAUAACAGAUGUUUUCAGAGUUGUUUCACUAGAGGCAAUCCUACAACUAUCUAUAUCUAUAUAUCUAUGAAACAACAAUUAUUGAAAGAUUGUUGUUUUAUGCUAAAGUUUUAUUAGGCAAGUACAUUGCUUUCUUUCUUGUUGUUAGAAGGAGAUAGACACUGAAGUCAAAAAAUAUGUUUAAUAUUCUUUAAUGAUAUAUAUAUUUAAUGUUUACAUAAUAAAGUACAAUAAUUCAAUUAUUAUUACUUUACUAAUUAUCCACAGCAACUGUAAGCAUUUAAUGGAAGUGAUUUUUCAACUUAUCAUUUCAUUUAUGCCCUCAGUUUGAUUAUUUCCUGGUAUGUACUCAUCCAGGGGAAAUUUGCUUCCAUUUGUUUGAGAGCUUUCUGCUGUGAUGUCAAUUCUUUUGUGACUAUUCUCUAGGAUAUUCAUGUGAGCACUUAGAGCAAUGAACUUUCCUCUUAGUACUGCUAACAAUGUGUCCCACGUGUUUGGGUAAGGUGUCUCUUCAUUUUCAUUGAAUUCUAGGAAGUCUUUAAUUUCCUUCUUUAUUUCUUCGUUGAUCCAGUAGUGAUACAAUUGCACAUUGUUCGGUUUCCAUGAGUUGGUAAGUUUUAUGCAGUUUGUUUUAUUUUUGAAUUCUAACUGUAAAGCAUGGUGGUCUGAUAAGACACAGGGGGUUAUUCCAAUAUUUUUGUACCUGUUGAGGUUUGCUAUGUU